This 468-nucleotide ribosomal RNA is filed under the name uncultured bacterium. RNAcentral's name for it is "partial 16S ribosomal RNA". It matches the Rfam family "Bacterial small subunit ribosomal RNA", at positions 28 to 507 of the family's 1533-position model. The record is from RNAcentral.
GACGAACGCUGGCGGCGUGCUUAACACAUGCAAGUCGAACGGAAAGGCCCUGCUUUUGUGGGGUGCUCGAGUGGCGAACGGGUGAGUAACACGUGAGUAACCUGCCCUUGACUUUGGGAUAACUUCAGGAAACUGGGGCUAAUACCGGAUAGGAGCUCCUGCUGCAUGGUGGGGGUUGGAAAGUUUCGGCGGUUGGGGAUGGACUCGCGGCUUAUCAGCUUGUUGGUGGGGUAGUGGCUUACCAAGGCUUUGACGGGUAGCCGGCCUGAGAGGGUGACCGGGCACAAUGGGACUGAGGGACGGACCAGUAUCCUACCGGGGGCAACAGGGGGGAAUAUUGCACAAUGGGCCGGAGCCUGAUGCAGCGACCCCGCGUGCGGGAAGCCGGCCUUCGGGGUAUAAACCGCUUUCGCCUGUGACGAAGCGUGAGUGACGGUAAUGGGUAAAGAAGCACCGGCUAACUACGUG